Molecule: transfer RNA, 87 nt
Filed under: Sclerotinia borealis F-4128
Lineage: Eukaryota; Fungi; Ascomycota; Leotiomycetes; Helotiales; Sclerotiniaceae
Rfam family: tRNA
About the family: Transfer RNA (tRNA) molecules are approximately 80 nucleotides in length.
Source: Rfam by way of RNAcentral
GGCCUGAUAGUUCAGUGGUAGAAUUCUUGCUUUGGGUUGCGAAAUCUAAAUUGUAAGAGGUCUCCGGUUCGAUCCCGGAUUAGGCCC